AGAAACAAAACAGAUCUCUAAAACAGAUCCGGAAACUCACAGUGUCACAGUUGGAAGAAACAGAGAUGAAUGUCAGUGCAUCUGAUCUGACAAGAUCAACACUUAUGGAGCUGAAUGUUUCAGAAUCCCGAGAUGUGACUUCUUCCUCUG
Molecule: long non-coding RNA, 150 nt
Organism: Onychomys torridus (southern grasshopper mouse)
Lineage: Eukaryota; Metazoa; Chordata; Mammalia; Rodentia; Cricetidae
Exons: 3
Source: RefSeq, a predicted model, not a curated record